This 1229-nucleotide ribosomal RNA is filed under the name fermentation metagenome. RNAcentral's name for it is "bacterial LSU rRNA". It matches the Rfam family "Bacterial large subunit ribosomal RNA", at positions 1052 to 2309 of the family's 2925-position model. The record is from RNAcentral.
GUUACGCUUAAGUGGUAAAGGAGGUAGGAUUACGAAGACAACCAGGAUGUUGGCUCAGAAGCAGCCACACAUUCAAAGAGUGCGUAAUAGCUCACUGGUCGAGUGAUCCCGCGCCGAAAAUUAGCGGGGCUAAAGCGUACACCGAAGCUGCGGAUAGCAUACUUAGGUAUGCUGUGGUAGAGGAGCAUUCCUUAUGGGUAGAAGGUAAGCUGAAAGGCGAGCUGGACUGUAAGGAAGAGAGAAUGCCGGCAUAAGUAACGAGAGUAGAGUGAGAAACUCUGCCGUCGAAAGUCUAAGGUUUCCUGGGUAAAGAUCAUCUUCCCAGGGUAAGUCGGGACCUAAGCCGAGGCCGAAAGGCGUAGGCGAUGGACAACCGGUAAAGAUUCCGGUACCACCCGAAGCCGUCAUAAAGGAAGCGGGGACGCAUAAAGAGGCCGCAUGCGGGCUGUUGGUAUAGCCCGUCCAAGCAGCGAACCAUCCUUAAGGUAAAGCACCUUAAGGUAAGGCAAGCUGUGAUGGGGAGCAAUAGCGAAGAUACGGUCUAACGUGCCAAGAAAAGCCGCUACAAGGCCAGGGUGCCCGUACCGCAAACCGACACAGGUAGACGAGGAGAGAAUCCAAAGACGGACGGGAGAAAUUCUGUUAAGGAACUCGGCAAAUUAACCCCGUAACUUAGGAAGAAGGGGAGCCACCAAAAGGUGGCCGCAGAGAAAUGGCCCGAGCGACUGUUUACCAAAAACACAGGUCUCUGCCAAGUCGAAAGACGAAGUAUAGGGGCUGACGCCUGCCCGGUGCUGGAAGGUUAAGGGGAGAAGUGAUAAGCUUUGAACCGAAGCCCCAGUAAACGGCGGCCGUAACUAUAACGGUCCUAAGGUAGCGAAAUUCCUUGUCGGGUAAGUUCCGACCCGCACGAAAGGCGUAACGACUUGGGCGCUGUCUUAACAGAAAACCCGGUGAAAUUGUAGUACUCGUGAAGAUGCGAGUUACCUGCGACUGGACGGAAAGACCCCAUGGAGCUUUACUGUAGCCUGGCACUGGAUUUUGAUGCAGUCUGUACAGGAUAGGUGGGAGGCAGAGAAGUAAGGGCGCCAGUCCUUACGGAGCCAACGGUGGGAUACCACCCUAACUGCACCCAAAUUCUAACCCCGAAGUAGUAUAACCUACCGGGGGACACUGUCAGGUGGGCAGUUUGACUGGGGCGGUCGCCUCCUAAAGAGUAACGGAGGCGU